CAUAGUCACCUGGGAUUUCUCAGUGCUAGAGCUCUUAGAAGUCAGGACCUCCUUCUUUGGCUGAAGUGAUAAUGAGCUAACCCAAACUGACCAAGACAGAUUAAGGUUUCUUCAUCUUCCUGUCCUAGAGAAGGAGAUGUCACUCACCAGAGUACUGCAGUGCACAAGGACUUGCUGUUGGCGUUUGAAGAGGAAAAUUCUUCAUCAUCAGGCCUGCUCAUAUGAUCAAUGCAGAGAGGAAGACUGAAGGGAAAGCAUGUUGGUCAAGAGUUAAGCCUCUUUAUUCAGGCUGAGAUAGUGAGGCCUGUUAGUAAUCAGCUAGGAGUUGAAGCAACCUGCAACAACUUAAUGAAGAGCAGCAGUCCUUAGGAAACUUCAACUAGUACAGAAUUCUGCAACACCAAGCUACUGUGAGCACAGCAGGCUUGUCCUCUACUCUCUAUACAGGCUUCCCACAGAAUAUUGAGUCAAGUCCCAGCUCUUGGUCCUUAUCUUCAAAGUGAGUGGCCUCAGUCCAGCAUAUCUAAAAGACCACCUAAAGCUCUAGACUGUGAUUGACAAUUUUGCUUCUCAGGCACAGUGAAACUUUCUGCCAUAAGGGUAAAGCUUGUCUGGGCAGAAGAUAGAUAUUUAUUUGGGGCUGGUUCGAGACUGUGGAAGGAACUCUCACGGGAACUAAGGACUAUCAUACACUUCACCAACUUCUGUCCAAGUGCAAGGUGCACUUCUUAAUUUUGCCACAAAAUACAGUAUGUAUAUAAAAAAACCUACCAAAACAAAACACAAUGCUUCAAACACAGUUCUCACCGGGAGUGUGUGUGUGAGAAAGAAUGAGUAUGACAGAGAGAAUGAACCAGAUAUGACAGAUGUUAGUCAUGUUUCUUAAUGCACUAUUGGAAGGUCCUCAGAUAUUAAGGUGAUGGGAGUGGUAUAAGAACCUAUAAGAAUAGAAUAGCCUAGAAUCUAUAAUUAGUGGACUCUUUCGUGAGUGAUUUUGCUGGCUCAAAUCUAAAAGAUAGAGCUAAAAAUAUAUUGGAAGUUUUUCUCAUGUAAUGUUUCUCUUAGUUCUCAAAUAUGUCUUUUUCUAGUAUUAAAUUGAAUAGGAUAAAUCUGGCAGCUAGAAACUGGGGUCAAAGGAGGCAAACUUUCAGCAUUUUGGAGGUAUUAAAUAUUUAUUG
Long non-coding RNA from Chelonia mydas (Green sea turtle), 1178 nucleotides. RefSeq lists it as uncharacterized. The record is from RefSeq and is a predicted model, not a curated record. The transcript is spliced from 4 exons. NCBI's taxonomy places the organism in Eukaryota, Metazoa, Chordata, Testudines, Cheloniidae.